RNAcentral lists this ribosomal RNA (633 nucleotides) under Penicillium namyslowskii. RNAcentral's name for it is "eukaryotic LSU rRNA". It matches the Rfam family "Eukaryotic large subunit ribosomal RNA", at positions 1 to 649 of the family's 3401-position model. Lineage: Eukaryota; Fungi; Ascomycota; Eurotiomycetes; Eurotiales; Aspergillaceae. The record is from RNAcentral.
UGACCUCGGAUCAGGUAGGGAUACCCGCUGAACUUAAGCAUAUCAAUAAGCGGAGGAAAAGAAACCAACAGGGAUUGCCUCAGUAACGGCGAGUGAAGCGGCAAGAGCUCAAAUUUGAAAGCUGGCCCCCUCGGGGUCCGCAUUGUAAUUUGCAGAGGAUGCUUCGGGAGUGGCCCCCAUCUAAGUGCUCUGGAACGGGCCGUCAUAGAGGGUGAGAAUCCCGUAUGGGAUGGGGUGUCCGCGACCAUGUGAAGCUCCUUCAACGAGUCGAGUUGUUUGGGAAUGCAGCUCUAAAUGGGUGGUAAAUUUCAUCUAAAGCUAAAUAUUGGCCGGAGACCGAUAGCGCACAAGUAGAGUGAUCGAAAGAUGAAAAGCACUUUGAAAAGAGAGUUAAAAAGCACGUGAAAUUGUUGAAAGGGAAGCGCUUGCGACCAGACUCGCCUACGGGGUUCAGCCGGUAUUCGUACCGGUGUACUUCCCCGUGGGCGGGCCAGCGUCGGUUUGGGCGGCCGGUCAAAGGCCCUCGGAAUGUAACGCCUCUCGGGGCGUCUUAUAGCCGAGGGUGCCAUGCGGCCAGCCCAGACCGAGGAACGCGCUUCGGCACGGACGCUGGCAUAAUGGUCGUAAGCGACC